CGUGUAGGCGGCCUGCCAAGUCGGGUGUGAAAGCCCUCGGCUCAACCCGAGGAAUUGCACCCGAUACUGGCGGGCUAGAGUCCGGGAGGGGGUAGCGGAAUUCCCAGUGUAGCGGUGAAAUGCGUAGAUAUUGGGAAGAACACCAGUGGCGAAGGCGGCUACCUGGACCGGAACUGACGCUGAGGCGCGAAAGCUAGGGGAGCGAAUG
RNAcentral lists this ribosomal RNA (208 nucleotides) under uncultured bacterium. RNAcentral's name for it is "partial 16S ribosomal RNA". It matches the Rfam family "Bacterial small subunit ribosomal RNA", at positions 568 to 774 of the family's 1533-position model. The record is from RNAcentral.